GCCGAACCGUAGUCCAACCAACAUACAAAAAUCCCAGACCACAAAACAAACCAUUUGACCAACUUAGUAGAUGAGAUCGAACACCAUAUCAGGCACUACUCCAGUACCGCAAGGGAAAACAUAAAUCAAGCAAAAAACAGCAAAGAUUAAACCUUGUACCUUUUGCAUCAUGGUUUAGCAAGAACACCGGACAAGAAAAACCAUAAGCCCACCACCCCGAAACCAGGAGAGCUACUUCAAAGCAGCCCACCAGGGCCAACCCUUCUCUGUAGCAAAAGAGUGGGAAGACUUAGAAGUAGAGGUGAAAUGCCUAUCGAACCUGGAGAUAGCUGGUUACCCAACAAACGAAUAUAAGUUCAACUUUAGAACCACAACACACCAAAAUAGUACUCUAGAGACACUCAAUAGGGGUACAGCUCUAUUGAAACAGGAUACAACCUGAAUUUGCGAGCAACAUCAACAACAUUAAACCAGUAGGCCUUAAAGCAGCCACCCAUAAAAAUAUCGUUCAAGAAUUACACACAAAAGAUACCAAACAAAGUUAAAUCCUCCAAACCAACUAAGGGUCAACCUAUACACAUAGAUAAACUUCUGCUAAAACUAAUAAUACGAAAAAUUCUCCAAGCACAACCCUCCACCAGAAACAGAAAACCUACUAGUAAUUAACAGACCACAAAAGGACACAAACCACCCAAUACACAACACCACCAAACUGUGACCCCGACACAGGAGUGCCAAAAAGAAAGACAAAACAUUACAAAAGGAACUCGGCAACCAACGGCUCCAACUGUUUACCAAAAACAUAACCCUUAGCUAAACCAGUAUUAAAGGCAAUGCCUGCCCAGUGAAACAUCUUCAACGGCCGCGGUACCCUAACCGUGCAAAGGUAGCGUAAUCAUUUGUCUAUUAAUUGUAGACCAGUAUGAAAGGCCACAUGAGAGCCGAACUGUCUCUUGUAAUCAGUCAAUUAAACUGAUCUCCUAGUACAAAAGCUAGAAUAACCAUAUAAGACCAGAAGACCCUGUGAAGCUUAAACUAAACUGUUAAAACCACUAACAGCCACUUUCGGUUGGGGCGACCUUGGAACAAAACAAAACUUCCAAAAACCAUGAGCACUACCUCAUAUACAGGCCAACAAGCCACCCUAUGACCCAGCACGCUGAUAAACGAACCAAGUUACUCCAGGGAUAACAGCGCCAUCUUCUUCAAGAGCCCAUAUCAAAAAGAAGGUUUACGACCUCGAUGUUGGAUCAGGACACCCAAAUGGUGCAACCGCUAUUAAAGGUUCGUUUGUUCAACGAUUAACAGUCCUACGUGAUCUGAGUUCAGACCGGAGCAAUCCAGGUCAGUUUCUAUCUAUAAACGGCCCCCCCCAGUACGAAAGGACCAGGUGGGCAAAGCCAAUACCACAGGCACGCUUUAAAGAAAAAUAUAAAUCAAUUAAAUAUCACAAUACUACCAAAUUAAGCCCAGAAAAGGCUAGUUAAGAACCCACAAACACACAACCUUAACAC
RNAcentral lists this ribosomal RNA (1514 nucleotides) under Lichanura trivirgata (rosy boa). RNAcentral's name for it is "16S ribosomal RNA". It matches the Rfam family "Bacterial large subunit ribosomal RNA", at positions 550 to 2859 of the family's 2925-position model. The record is from RNAcentral. Lineage: Eukaryota; Metazoa; Chordata; Lepidosauria; Squamata; Ungaliophiidae.